Brienomyrus brachyistius is the source of this 2223-nucleotide long non-coding RNA. RefSeq lists it as uncharacterized. The transcript has 4 exons. NCBI's taxonomy places the organism in Eukaryota, Metazoa, Chordata, Actinopteri, Osteoglossiformes, Mormyridae. The record is from RefSeq and is a predicted model, not a curated record.
AACUGUUCUCCCCCCCCCCCCCAGGUGCUGAAUUUGGCAUUGAAAUGCAUUGGUCACUUUUAACAGGAAGAUGUGAGAUUGCUGAUAAUAUUCCCGUUGCAUUUGCGGUUAGGGAAAGUUGCCAUGGCAAGCUGGUGUCUCCCGCUGAGGAGGCCAAUAGAUAGGUAACGUGUGUGUUCCCCCCCCUCCCCAAAUGGUUUAUCCUUGUACCAGCAGCUGCAGUUAUGUCAACAAGCCGUCGUGCCCGAACCAUUUGCAGAACUGGGUGGGGGGGACAUCUUUUUCGCGGUCAUUAUUGAUUUUUAUAUUUAGGAUUUUUUUAUUUAUAUUUAUAUUUUCUAAAUUAUAUUUAGAAAACACUAACGUAAAAAAUGGAAUGCUAUCGUUGAAAACGGAAAACAGAGAAAACAGCACCGAAAGAUGCCAAUUGGGUUAGCCUAAAUUACAAAUAGUUUACAAGAGGUGGAAGAUUAAGUUCAUCUGAUUUAAUUGGCUAGCAACGAACGAAUUAAAAUCCCAGUAUUGCCAUUACUUUUACUGGUUUGUUCAGUGUAAACACAUCUGAUGACAAGUUCAUCCGAUCUCCUAAAGUGACUUAAAGGAGUGUGUAGCGAUAGCUACUGCAAGGACAACAUACAAGCCCUCACACUCCUAACUCUCCUCCCCCAAGUGAUUGAGGUCAUACACUUUUUAGGUAGCCGUUCCCCUUUUUUCAGUACAGGAUGGAAUUCGCAUAAGCUCCCCCUGCAGGUCGAAACAGGAACACCCAUCCCCAACACAGGUUCGUAACAGCAGCACUGUAGGCCCGGAACUGGGUUAUUAAGCAUGUCCACCGUCAUCAAAUGUCAAAACAAGGCCUCACACUGUCCUCCAGGAAUUAUCAUGGUAUGAAAUGUAACUUCCCAGGUACCAACACUUGUGGCAGAAGCGACCAGCGGCACCGCGGAUUAAAAUCCCACAGCUGACGAUGCGUUAGUGUCAAAAAGCGAGUGGGCUGCACGAAAGCCACAGGCUGUAAGGUGUCGUCUUACCUUUUUACCUCUCCUCCGUCUCCCAGCAACUACAUCAGCACCAUCUGCCACAUGCAGGCAGCGAUCCACUCCUUUGAUGGAAACAUGACUUAGGAAUUUGACUCUGAUUGAUGUCACACAUAAAGGCGGAAAUGCGAUCCACAUUCUCUGUGCACAGAGAACAUUUCUGUUGAGUGAAAGGCUCUCCAUCCGUCCCUGCUUUUUGCUUCUGGUAGAACCGUGGCAGUAACAUCCUAUCAUUGUGAGUGAUAACGAUAGUUAAAAUAUGGCUUAUAAACAAAUCUUUGUCAUGAUAAUUAUCACGAUAAUUAAAUAUGUCAUGAUAAUUAUAUUUCUGAAAUUGGCUAAUAAUAAUGCUAAUAGUAGUAAUAAUAUGAUGGCUUGUCGUCCUGGUCUAGGGUCCUUUGUUAUUGUUAGCAUGAUAGCACCUGUAAGCUGGUAUUUCAUGUUCCUCAGCGGUCCUCUCACUGAUAUUGCCGCUCAGCCUUAACUAAUUAAAGAAUUUGGUGAAAAUACAGUGAAUACGUAUCCAUGAGCGCUUAGCCAGUGCAGGACUGCAGAAUGGCUGGAGUAUGUCCCAGGAAGCACAGAGCAUGAAGAAGGAGGCAUUUGGGAUGGGAUUCCAGGCCACAGUAUGGCUGAAUUAGAGAUGCUAAUCCGGCAAAACAAUGCGUCUUUAGAUGAUGGGAGGAAUCCAGAGAACCCAGUGAAACCCAGGCAUUAGCCAGGGUUCGGUCGGGAUCCAGACCCACUGCUCUGGAGGUGCUAGGCUUCAAUGCUAUGUGCUAGGUCCCUACCAAUGUAACACGCUACUUCCCUAUCAAUGUAACGCAUUACUUCCCUAUCAAUGCUAUGUGCUAGGUCCCUACCAAUGUAACACGCUACUUCCCUAUCAAUGUAACGCAUUACUUCCCUAUCAAUGCUAUGUGCUAGGUCCCUACCAAUGUAACACGCUACUUCCCUAUCAAUGUAACGCACUACUUCCCUAUCAAUGCUACGCACUACUUCCCUAUCAAUGCUACGCACUCGGUCCCUAGCAAUGUUAUGCUCUAGGUCCCUAUCAAUGUAAUGCGCCACUUCCCUAUCAAUGCUAUAUGCUAGGUCCCUAUCAAUGCUAUAUGCUAGGUCCCUAUCAAUGCUAUAUGCUAGGUCCCUAUCAAUGCUAUGCGCUAAGCUGCCAGUUGACCUCGGA